RNAcentral lists this ribosomal RNA (2902 nucleotides) under Escherichia coli. RNAcentral describes it as "bacterial LSU rRNA". It matches the Rfam family "Bacterial large subunit ribosomal RNA". Lineage: Bacteria; Pseudomonadati; Pseudomonadota; Gammaproteobacteria; Enterobacterales; Enterobacteriaceae. The record is from RNAcentral.
UUAAGCGACUAAGCGUACACGGUGGAUGCCCUGGCAGUCAGAGGCGAUGAAGGACGUGCUAAUCUGCGAUAAGCGUCGGUAAGGUGAUAUGAACCGUUAUAACCGGCGAUUUCCGAAUGGGGAAACCCAGUGUGAUUCGUCACACUAUCAUUAACUGAAUCCAUAGGUUAAUGAGGCGAACCGGGGGAACUGAAACAUCUAAGUACCCCGAGGAAAAGAAAUCAACCGAGAUUCCCCCAGUAGCGGCGAGCGAACGGGGAGCAGCCCAGAGCCUGAAUCAGUGUGUGUGUUAGUGGAAGCGUCUGGAAAGGCGCGCGAUACAGGGUGACAGCCCCGUACACAAAAAUGCACAUACUGUGAGCUCGAUGAGUAGGGCGGGACACGUGGUAUCCUGUCUGAAUAUGGGGGGACCAUCCUCCAAGGCUAAAUACUCCUGACUGACCGAUAGUGAACCAGUACCGUGAGGGAAAGGCGAAAAGAACCCCGGCGAGGGGAGUGAAAAAGAACCUGAAACCGUGUACGUACAAGCAGUGGGAGCCUCUUUAUGGGGUGACUGCGUACCUUUUGUAUAAUGGGUCAGCGACUUAUAUUCUGUAGCAAGGUUAACCGAAUAGGGGAGCCGAAGGGAAACCGAGUCUUAACUGGGCGUUAAGUUGCAGGGUAUAGACCCGAAACCCGGUGAUCUAGCCAUGGGCAGGUUGAAGGUUGGGUAACACUAACUGGAGGACCGAACCGACUAAUGUUGAAAAAUUAGCGGAUGACUUGUGGCUGGGGGUGAAAGGCCAAUCAAACCGGGAGAUAGCUGGUUCUCCCCGAAAGCUAUUUAGGUAGCGCCUCGUGAAUUCAUCUCCGGGGGUAGAGCACUGUUUCGGCAAGGGGGUCAUCCCGACUUACCAACCCGAUGCAAACUGCGAAUACCGGAGAAUGUUAUCACGGGAGACACACGGCGGGUGCUAACGUCCGUCGUGAAGAGGGAAACAACCCAGACCGCCAGCUAAGGUCCCAAAGUCAUGGUUAAGUGGGAAACGAUGUGGGAAGGCCCAGACAGCCAGGAUGUUGGCUUAGAAGCAGCCAUCAUUUAAAGAAAGCGUAAUAGCUCACUGGUCGAGUCGGCCUGCGCGGAAGAUGUAACGGGGCUAAACCAUGCACCGAAGCUGCGGCAGCGACACUAUGUGUUGUUGGGUAGGGGAGCGUUCUGUAAGCCUGUGAAGGUGUACUGUGAGGUAUGCUGGAGGUAUCAGAAGUGCGAAUGCUGACAUAAGUAACGAUAAAGCGGGUGAAAAGCCCGCUCGCCGGAAGACCAAGGGUUCCUGUCCAACGUUAAUCGGGGCAGGGUGAGUCGACCCCUAAGGCGAGGCCGAAAGGCGUAGUCGAUGGGAAACAGGUUAAUAUUCCUGUACUUGGUGUUACUGCGAAGGGGGGACGGAGAAGGCUAUGUUGGCCGGGCGACGGUUGUCCCGGUUUAAGCGUGUAGGCUGGUUUUCCAGGCAAAUCCGGAAAAUCAAGGCUGAGGCGUGAUGACGAGGCACUACGGUGCUGAAGCAACAAAUGCCCUGCUUCCAGGAAAAGCCUCUAAGCAUCAGGUAACAUCAAAUCGUACCCCAAACCGACACAGGUGGUCAGGUAGAGAAUACCAAGGCGCUUGAGAGAACUCGGGUGAAGGAACUAGGCAAAAUGGUGCCGUAACUUCGGGAGAAGGCACGCUGAUAUGUAGGUGAAGCGACUUGCUCGUGGAGCUGAAAUCAGUCGAAGAUACCAGCUGGCUGCAACUGUUUAUUAAAAACACAGCACUGUGCAAACACGAAAGUGGACGUAUACGGUGUGACGCCUGCCCGGUGCCGGAAGGUUAAUUGAUGGGGUUAGCGGUAACGCGAAGCUCUUGAUCGAAGCCCCGGUAAACGGCGGCCGUAACUAUAACGGUCCUAAGGUAGCGAAAUUCCUUGUCGGGUAAGUUCCGACCUGCACGAAUGGCGUAAUGAUGGCCAGGCUGUCUCCACCCGAGACUCAGUGAAAUUGAACUCGCUGUGAAGAUGCAGUGUACCCGCGGCAAGACGGAAAGACCCCGUGAACCUUUACUAUAGCUUGACACUGAACAUUGAGCCUUGAUGUGUAGGAUAGGUGGGAGGCUUUGAAGUGUGGACGCCAGUCUGCAUGGAGCCGGCCUUGAAAUACCACCCUUUAAUGUUUGAUGUUCUAACGUUGGCCCCUGACCGGGGUUGCGGACAGUGUCUGGUGGGUAGUUUGACUGGGGCGGUCUCCUCCUAAAGAGUAACGGAGGAGCACGAAGGUUGGCUAAUCCUGGUCGGACAUCAGGAGGUUAGUGCAAUGGCAUAAGCCAGCUUGACUGCGAGCGUGACGGCGCGAGCAGGUGCGAAAGCAGGUCAUAGUGAUCCGGUGGUUCUGAAUGGAAGGGCCAUCGCUCAACGGAUAAAAGGUACUCCGGGGAUAACAGGCUGAUACCGCCCAAGAGUUCAUAUCGACGGCGGUGUUUGGCACCUCGAUGUCGGCUCAUCACAUCCUGGGGCUGAAGUAGGUCCCAAGGGUAUGGCUGUUCGCCAUUUAAAGUGGUACGCGAGCUGGGUUUAGAACGUCGUGAGACAGUUCGGUCCCUAUCUGCCGUGGGCGCUGGAGAACUGAGGGGGGCUGCUCCUAGUACGAGAGGACCGGAGUGGACGCAUCACUGGUGUUCGGGUUGUCAUGCCAAUGGCACUGCCCGGUAGCUAAAUGCGGAAGAGAUAAGUGCUGAAAGCAUCUAAGCACGAAACUUGCCCCGAGAUGAGUUCUCCCUGACUCCUUGAGAGUCCUGAAGGAACGUUGAAGACGACGACGUUGAUAGGCCGGGUGUGUAAGCGCAGCGAUGCGUUGAGCUAACCGGUACUAAUGAACCGUGAGGCUUAACCUU